RNAcentral lists this ribosomal RNA (388 nucleotides) under Resinicium sp. Its description in RNAcentral is "partial small subunit ribosomal RNA". It matches the Rfam family "Eukaryotic small subunit ribosomal RNA", at positions 582 to 975 of the family's 1831-position model. The record is from RNAcentral. Lineage: Eukaryota; Fungi; Basidiomycota; Agaricomycetes; Hymenochaetales.
AUUCCAGCUCCAACAGCGUAUAUUAAAGUUGUUGCAGUUAAAAAGCUCGUAGUUGAACUUCAGAUCCGGCUGGGCGGUCUGCCUAACGGUAUGUACUGUCCGGCUGGGUCUUACCUCUUGGUGAGCCGGCAUGCCCUUUAUUGGGUGUGUCGGGGAACCAGGACUUUUACCUUGAGAAAAUUAGAGUGUUCAAAGCAGGCCUAUGCCCGAAUACAUUAGCAUGGAAUAAUAAAAUAGGAUGUGCGGUUCUAUUUUGUUGGUUUCUAGAGUCGCCGUAAUGAUUAAUAGGGAUAGUUGGGGGCAUUAGUAUUCAGUUGCUAGAGGUGAAAUUCUUGGAUUUACUGAAGACUAACUAUUGCGAAAGCAUUUGCCAAGGAUGUUUUCAUCG